CGGACAGCAUGGGAAACUCCACCGACCCCUCGCCCCCUGCUCUCGCGAUCCCGUCGAGCGGCACCCACACCGGAGUCACCCCGACCCCAUCCCAUCGAGCGCGCGCGCCGGAGUCGCCGCCAUCCCCAUCGAGCGCGCUCGCGCUGGAUCUGCCCACCGUCCCAUCGAUUGCACCUAGGUCGUAGCCGCCCGCGCCGGAGUCAGCGCCAUCCGCGUCAGAGCCGCUCGCACCGGAGCCGCGUCGGAGCCACCUGGCGUCCACGUCGGGUGCCGCGCGAACCGGCUGACCAAACGGUGAGUGACUGAUUCUCUCGCCGCUGGUCUUCACCCGUCGCCCUCAGCCUCCACGGCGGUGGUGCGCGUGGGUGGAUAGCGGCGAGAACCGCGGUGCUGCUGUCUCCGCCUCCCGCCCCGCCUCUUCCUCCUGCAUUGUCCUUUACCACCCCUCCGCCUUCUGCUCCGCUAGUCUCCUCUCCCCCGACGCCACCACGACCAGGAGCCCCACCACCUCCCCAGUCCGGUUGCCUGCCUGCACCGCUGCAGCGCCACUACUCCUCUUCCCCACGUCGAUGCAGAGCGGAGGAAAGGCCAGGACGAAGCAGGCGGUGGUAGCAUGACGGCGCAGGCGAGUAGCUGGGAUAUGGAAGACGGGUGAUGGCAGCCGAUGUGAAGUGGGUGGGGCUGUUGCAUCGCGCGUCUCCUCACGUGGGAGGCCAGACGAGCAGCGUCACCGCGGCAAAAGCUCAGGCGGUCCUGUAUCCCGAUGCUGUUCCAGGGGGCAGCAGCUCGCCAUGGUCGCUGGCCGCAUAGGCGUGUCCACCGUUGCUACUGGUAAUUUUGGAAAUGUCGGCCAAUCAUUAUGAUUGAUCACACAAAGUCGAUGCAGAUACAUGUUGAAUUAGUCAGCAACAAGGGAACCACGGUGGUCAUAUUUAGUCAGCAACAAAUACAUGCAGGUUACUCCUCUUCUUGAAAAAUGAUUCAUCUGAUUAAUUUAUUCAGUUGUCUUCUCCACCGCUUGCAAUUUGUAUUUCCUGUAAUACUCUUACAUAGUGUUAUAAUAAUUGUUAAUGAUUAAAGUUUAAAUUUGUCACUUUAUAGUGUUCGCUUGUUCUUUUUUUUCUUUGUUAUGGCUUUUCCUUUGUCAAAAUAAGGUGUGGUUUUCCAGCAUCAUGCAUAUGCUCAAUUACUCAUGUGCAAUUAGAGAUUUCUUACUAUUCGUUAAGCCCUCUUCUACAUAUACUUUGCGCUCAAGCACUAAAUUCUCUGUUUUUUGUGCGGUGGCAACACAAUGGAACCAUCGCUUUGGGGAGCAAGAGCGCUAGAGUUUAAUGAACUCAGUCGCAACUACAUCCAUCGAGAUUCAAUUGGACUAUACAUGUAAGAAUAUCAAGGAUGUGGAAAUUUGGUGGAACAUCAGAAGAUCGCCCUGUGAAGGACCUACAUCUGAUUGCUGUUGAUGGGAAGGUCACAGUUGUACCCAUAAAAGAACCUGCACAAUUAUUCUAAGAGUUGUGAAAAGGUGAAAAGAAAAUAACUUAAAAAGAAGAGAAGAAGGUACAACAACCACUAAUCUUAAGAGGUAUGAAAUAUAGAACUCUGUUUUUAUGUAAAUGGUUUCUUAGAGCAAAUAUUAUGAUAUAGAGAAUUAAUGAUUGAGUGAAGAUUGAAAAUGUAUGAUGUUUGCUCUUUUUCCCCCCACUUCUGUACCAGUAGUUGUAGUCGAAUUCAUCUCCUUUCUACAAACUUUGUUCAUACUAAUGGAGGCUGGUGAAAGUAGAGUACAUAAUAUGUUUGCUUCUGGAGAUGCCUACAUCAGUGUUCAUUAUCAGAAAUGAUACA
Long non-coding RNA from Phragmites australis (common reed), 1842 nucleotides. RefSeq lists it as uncharacterized. The record is from RefSeq and is a predicted model, not a curated record. NCBI's taxonomy places the organism in Eukaryota, Viridiplantae, Streptophyta, Magnoliopsida, Poales, Poaceae. The transcript has 5 exons.